GAUGAAGAACGUAGCGAAAUGCGAUACGUAAUGUGAAUUGCAGAAUUCAGUGAAUCAUCGAAUCUUUGAACGCAUAUUGCGCUCUCUGGUAUUCCGGAGAGCAUGCUUGUUUGAGUAUCAGUAAACACCUCAACUUCCAUAACUUUUUUGAAAUGGGAGUUGGACUUGAGUGAUCCCAACGCUUUUCCUCACCGAAAAGUGGCGGGUUACUUGAAAUGCAGGUGCAGCUGGACUUUUCUCUGAGCUAUAAGCAUAUCUAUUUAGUCUGCCUAAAAAACAGAUUAUUACCUUUGCUGCAGCUAACAUAAAGGAGAUUAGUUCUUGUGCUGACUGAUGCAGGAUUCACAAAGACAGGCUUCGGCCGACUUUGUAAACUCGAUCUCAAAUCAAGUAAGACUACCCGCUGAACUUAAGCAUAUCAAUAAGCGGAGGA
This 433-nucleotide unclassified non-coding RNA is filed under the name soil metagenome. Its description in RNAcentral is "partial contains 5.8S ribosomal RNA, internal transcribed spacer 2, and large subunit ribosomal RNA". The stretch from base 1 to 120 matches the Rfam family "5.8S ribosomal RNA", at positions 35 to 154 of the family's 154-position model. The record is from RNAcentral.